RNAcentral lists this unclassified non-coding RNA (3556 nucleotides) under Patiria miniata (bat star). RNAcentral describes it as "peptidyl-prolyl cis-trans isomerase E-like, transcript variant X1". The record is from RNAcentral. Lineage: Eukaryota; Metazoa; Echinodermata; Asteroidea; Valvatida; Asterinidae.
AGUCUAUUAUUAUCGAUGAUGGUAUCGAUGCGCACGUGUGUAUGCGAUAUGCGUACGUACGUCGCAAGUCACAACAAGUCCACUUACUUUUCAACCAACAAGUUCAGUCGGUGCGAGUAUGGCAUGGGAGCUGUCUUUCUGAAUGUCAAAAUACAUUAACUUUUAGACCAUGGCGAAUAACAAACGAAUGGUUUAUGUGGGUAGGAGGGCUUGCUGAAGAAGUUGAUGAGAAGGUCCUGCAUGCUGCCCUCAUUCCAUUUGGGGAUAUUCUGGAUAUCAACAUUCCCUUGGAUUAUGAAACGGAAAAGCACCGAGGCUUUGCAUUUGUUGAAUUUGAGUUUGCAGAGGAUGCUGCUGCUUCAAUUGAUAAUAUGAAUGACUCUGAGCUGUUUGGAAGGACAAUACGAGUCAACCUUGCCAAGCCAAUGAAAAUCAAAGAGGGACAUUCCAAACCAGUUUGGUCUGAUGAUAAUUGGCUGAAGAAGUAUGCAGGAGCAACAUUGAAAGCACAGGAAGAUAAGGAUGGGAAAGGCGGACAAGGUGAUGAGGAAACGGGCAAAAGAUCAGCAGAAACAGAUUCAAAUGAGGCAGGUGCUCCACCUCUCAAGAGGUCAAAAGGCAAUCCUCAUGUGUACUUUGACAUCAAGAUUGGAACCAAGCAAGUGGGUCGUAUUGUCAUGGUUCUCCGGGCAGACAUCGUUCCUAUGACAGCAGAGAAUUUCAGGUGUCUUUGCACACAUGAGAAGGGCUUUGGCAUGAAAGGCAGCACAUUUCACAGAAUCAUUCCAACAUUUAUGUGUCAAGGAGGAGAUUUUACAAACCACAAUGGCACUGGAGGAAAGUCCAUCUAUGGCAAGAAAUUUGAAGAUGAAAACUUCAUCUUAAAACACACACAACCUGGAGUAUUAUCUAUGGCGAAUUCAGGACCUGGUACGAAUAGCUCACAGUUCUUCCUCAUAACUGCAAAGACAGAAUGGCUCGAUGGAAAACAUGUGGUGUUUGGUCAUGUGACCGAAGGAAUGGACAUUGUAAGAAAGAUUGAAAAUGUUGGAACAAAGUCAGGAAAACCUAAAGAAAAAGUGACCAUUUGUGACUGUGGUGAACUGGUAUAGUUGAUCUUGGUCAACUCUGGAACACUCUACAGAUGAGUUCUACCAUCAUGAGGGAAGCAUCCAGCAACAAACCAGCUAGCUACUGGCCUUCUCAUCAUAAGAAUCUUUCUUAGCUUUUAACAAAUACUUUUAAACAGUUUUGGAUUCUGAAAUAAUGUAGAAACCAACGAGGAAGGCUAAGGACGGUUAUUUGAGGAAAAAACAAGGAGGUUUGUUGCACAAGUGUGUAAUCAAGUGUGUGACAAUUAGCUUUUACAAUCCAACAAUGGUCUGGAUGUGAGAAUGAUAAUGUCUUUGUGCUGAGCAAUGCCUAAUUGUAUUCUACUUCUAAUACAAGGCCACAGUUGACAGUUGGUAGUCCAUGGGCCCUUUGCACACUUGUGUGGUAAGAGAGGCCACACGUGUUGAGUAUCUUUCAGGUCUAAUUGGGAACAAAAUAAACAGGAAAUAGGGCAAUUCCAGCAUCAAGGACAUUACAAAUCAGACAAUGUUUUUGUUAUUUUUAUUUUUACUUUUGGAGUUAGUGAAUAAACCUUAAAAUGUAUUUAUCAUUGUCAAGGAGAUUAUACACUGUGAUUUUGGGAUCAUUUCUCUGAAUUAUUAAUUAAAUAUCGUGGUUAAUUGGCUUUGUCACAGAUUACAUUUUUUUGAUUUUUUUUUAAUACUUUAACAUCUGUGCAAAUUUCUGUGAAUGUGUGGAUAUAUUUUAGAAAAAAAGUACUAAUGUUAUGAUAAGAACAUGUUGAAAAAGGUUCAUGGCCAAAUGGUGUUGAACCAAUUCUGCAUUUGAUCUGUAGUCCCUUAAAUUUGGCAUCAUGAACAUUGCAAUUUGGAUGUCAAGGACAUUACGCUGAAUUUUCCCUGUUAAUUUGAAGUUGGGUCAGCUAAUUGAUUGAAAGAGUUCAGUUUGUCACUUCUUGAAACUGUUUUGAUGAUAAACUUGCUAUUUCAAUCAUUUCAUGGAAGCAAAAAUAUGAAAAUAUUUAACCUAACAAUAUAAACAGUUCAUUUAUGUCACAUGACAUAUACCAGAUUUUGUUAAAGAAAUUCAUACCAAGAGAUACAGUAGCUACUAAAGUCAGUUUAGUGAACAUGCUUCACUGAAUUCCUCUUAACCUGAUAUCAAUCAGAAUGUUCAGAAAUAUGAAUGUAACAGACAUGCUUAGUAGUCCAUUACAUGAACCAAAGGAUGAUUAUCUAACAUGAGUAUUUCAUUUUGAUGGAGAAUAUUGAAUAUACUCUUGUGUAUAAUCAGUGAAAGUGUCAUGGAAACCCUUUCAUGCAAACCAGAGCUGUAACAGAUCAUAAAAGGAUAUGUGCUUUUCAACUAUUCCAAUGGGAAUUACACAUUGCAUUGGAAAUCACUCAACCGGCACUCUGCAAUGGGUCUUUUCAUUUAACUGUGUAAAUCCAUCGGAACAGGUGAAAAACACAUUGCCAUUUAUAAUCUGUUGUAUCUCUGGUUUGUAUGAAUGGAUUUUCAUCAAAUUUUCACUGUGAUGCUGAUGUUUUUGAAAAAUUUAAAGGUGUCUGCGUGCACAAGUUUUUUGGGGUCACCCCAUACAUUUGUGUGCUGUAUACACAAAGAAAUGAUACUGAAUAAAUUAACUGUCAUUCUGAGGCAUUUUAGAGUUUCUAGUUCCAGCAGCAUGGUGUGAAUCCAUGUUGAUGACUCGGGAGGGAAGGAAUUACUCCUCAAAAUAGACAAUGGACACAAUUUGACACUUUGUUGCAUUAUUCAUAAUACUGCUCAGAGCUGUAUUUAUUGUUGCAGGCAAUUAAAUUUGCCCCAAACUUCCAGCGCGGGCCAAAUCACAAUUUCAUGCCCUCAAAUUCUCUGUAAUUAGAGGUUUUUAUGGCCCAUGCAGUUUGUGAUUUGUAAAAAUAAAGGAUGGAUGCUCUGCACAGGACUUUGGGCUUCUGUUUCUGUGAAAUUUGUAUUGUAUUAGGCUCUAAAAUUGCUCUUUUUUCCAGUGGACUGGAGGAAUCAUUUUCCAAAAUGGCGCUGGACCUCAUGACUACUUUAAGGGAUGAUCAUCGCUCGAGUACAAUUUUCCCCCAAAGUCUUUGGUUAACCGCCAAAAAAAUGCACAGAGUGAAAAGAUGAUGAAAUAAGCUUUAGUUUGAUAGGUGAUUUUUUGAAGUGGGGGCAUUUUGUGUUAUAUGAAUUUAAUAAAUCUCACUAAAAUGUAGUGCACUAUACAUUUUUAUAUGAAUUCUGGCCAGUCUUUCAGUAAACACAGAACAACAAAUGCAUAAUAUAAAAUAAAGACUUUCUUUGCUUUUGAAAAUUGAAACCUUUCUCAACAGGUCAUUUCCACUGUUUCAACUAAAAAGAAACAUUGUUAGGGUUUUUUAGAGGGCAGUGGUUUUGUAUGACUGGGAUAGGUAUGAGUAAACCUUGUGUGCAUUCAUUGUCACUAAAUUAAAAUACCGGUAAAUAA